This 795-nucleotide ribosomal RNA is filed under the name Triticum aestivum (bread wheat). RNAcentral describes it as "partial small subunit ribosomal RNA". Lineage: Eukaryota; Viridiplantae; Streptophyta; Magnoliopsida; Poales; Poaceae. The record is from RNAcentral.
AUGACGAAGAAAAAUAAGACCUACUAUCUGUUGGAUGGGGAGGAAGAGCCUACGAGGCAUAUACAUGGAAACUGUAUUGGCAAGGUGAUGUUCUUGACGGCCGUUGCUAGGCCAAGGUGGGACAGUGAAGGAAACGUGACCUUCUCUGGGAAAAUCGUAUGGCCAUUCGUGAAAGAAGUUCCUGCUCAGAGGAGAAGUGAUAACGGGCCCAAAGGUACAAUAGAGACAAAGUCAAUAAAGGUCGAUAGAAAAGUGAUGAGGGAGUUCCUGAUAGAGAAGGUCUUGCCAGCGAUACAGGCCGUUUGGCCCGAAAGUAAUGCUGGACAGACCAUCUACAUUCAGCAGGAUAAUGCUAAGCCCCAUAUCUUGCCAGAUGACCCAGAAUUUCUAGCCGCUGUUGCAAAAACUGGACUUGACAUCAGAAUAAUACAACAGCCCGCCAACAGUCCUGAUUCUAGUGUGCUUGACCUCGGUUUUUUCAACUCGCUGCAAUCCCUAACAGAUUGUCUGAGUCCUAAAACACUACAAGACCUUAUUACGGGUGUUCUGGAGGAAUUUGAAGGCUAUGAGGUUUACAAUCUCAACAGAAUUUUCCUAACUCUGCAGACAUGCAUGAUUGAGAUCUUGAACCAUGCAGGGGGCAAUGAGUAUAAAACACCACAUGUGAACAAAGAAAGGCUUGAGGGUCUUGGGCAGCUACCUCCAAGACUAUCAUGCCCUCGAGAGGUUUACGCAAAUGCCCUACACAAUCUAGAGCUAAUGGAAAGGGUUCAGAUAAUGGAAGAAAAGGCCUGA